UACGGAGGUUGCGAGCGUUACCCGGAUUUACUGGGAGUAAAGGGCGUGUAGGCGGUUUCGGACGUCCCAUGCGAAAGGCCACGGCUCAACUGUGGGGGAGCGUGGGAUACUGUGAGGCUAGACGGUGGGAGAGGGUGGUGGAAUUCUCGGAGUAGCGGUGAAAUGCGCAGAUACCGGGAGGAACGCCGAUGGCGAAGGCAGCCACCUGGCUCACUUGUGACGCUGAGGCGCGAAAGCGUGGGGAGCAAACCGG
This 253-nucleotide ribosomal RNA is filed under the name uncultured bacterium. RNAcentral describes it as "partial 16S ribosomal RNA". It matches the Rfam family "Bacterial small subunit ribosomal RNA", at positions 524 to 776 of the family's 1533-position model. The record is from RNAcentral.